UGGAUGGCGUGGGUCGGCAGGCUCCGUGCUCGUGCAUCGAACUGUCGGCGCCCCGUCCGCUUCAGUCUUGCCCCGAGCGCAGCUCCUGGCUCGCGGGUGCUUGAGGUAUCCUGUGUUGCUUACCCCGCAGAGGAAUUCGUUGGCUUUGGUGUCCCCAUCCGUCUUGCGCCCCUUCGGGGUGCGGGGCGGACUCGGGGUGGGCUCCGUGUUCCCCGUGUGUCGAGCGCGUUGACGCUCGGCCGCUGUGGCCCAUGGGGUCUCGCCCGUGCUCUCGGAUGCGGAAUGCUGUGUGUGGGCGUGGGGUCUCGGCCCCUGGUCGCCCGAGCUGCACGCAUUGUCCCUUGACAUGAACGACCGUCGCGCCCGUCUUGGUCGGCCGACCGUGCCCCCGUCGCGGGGCUGCGGGAGGGCGGCUCAUGCGGGCGUCGGCGUCGGAGAGGAAKGS
Molecule: unclassified non-coding RNA, 445 nt
Filed under: Zanthoxylum scandens
Lineage: Eukaryota; Viridiplantae; Streptophyta; Magnoliopsida; Sapindales; Rutaceae
Description: partial external transcribed spacer
Source: RNAcentral